Molecule: long non-coding RNA, 181 nt
Organism: Nanorana parkeri
Lineage: Eukaryota; Metazoa; Chordata; Amphibia; Anura; Dicroglossidae
Exons: 3
Source: RefSeq, a predicted model, not a curated record
UCACCAUGAUCAGGGUGAAGAACGAAUCAAUAUAAAAGCUGAGAUUAAAGAGGAAGAAGUGGAGACGUAUGUGGGGGGGUGAUCAGCCGUCCACGGAGGAGUUUGGGAUGAUGAUGAAAAGUGAUCAGGAUGACAUUUCUCUACCGAUCAACACAACAGAUGGAUGUGAUGUCAGGAAUAC